UACGUAGGGUGCGAGCGUUAAUCGGAAUUACUGGGCGUAAAGCGUGCGCAGGCGGUUUUGUAAGCCAGAUGUGAAAGCCCCGGGCUUAACCUGGGAAUGGCAUUUGGGACUGCAAGGCUUGAGUGCGGCAGAGGAGACUGGAAUUCCCGGUGUAGCAGUGAAAUGCGUAGAUAUCAGGAGGAACACCAGUGGCGAAGGCGGCUCACUGGACUGGUACUGACGCUGAGGCGCGAAAGCGUGGGGAGCAAACAGG
RNAcentral lists this ribosomal RNA (253 nucleotides) under uncultured bacterium. Its description in RNAcentral is "partial 16S ribosomal RNA". It matches the Rfam family "Bacterial small subunit ribosomal RNA", at positions 524 to 776 of the family's 1533-position model. The record is from RNAcentral.